CGUAGGGUGCGAGCGUUGUCCGGAAUUAUUGGGCGUAAAGGGCUCGUAGGCGGUUUGUCGCGUCGGGAGUGAAAACAUCCAGCUUAACUGGGUGCUUGCUUUCGAUACGGGCAGACUUGAGGCAUGCAGGGGAGAAUGGAAUUCCUGGUGUAGCGGUGAAAUGCGCAGAUAUCAGGAGGAACACCGGUGGCGAAGGCGGUUCUCUGGGCAUGUCCUGACGCUGAGGAGCGAAAGUGUGGGGAGCGAACAGGAUUAGAUACCCUGGUAGUCCACACCGUAAACGUUGGGCGCUAGGUGUGGGACCUAUUCCAUGGGUUCCGUGCCGUAGCUAACGCAUUAAGCGCCCCGCCUGGGGAGUACGGCCGCAAGGCUA
RNAcentral lists this ribosomal RNA (373 nucleotides) under uncultured organism. Its description in RNAcentral is "bacterial SSU rRNA". It matches the Rfam family "Bacterial small subunit ribosomal RNA", at positions 526 to 896 of the family's 1533-position model. The record is from RNAcentral.